ACACACACAGAGAACUGAGUUGAUGCUGAGUCUGAGGAAGACACACAACUGCUCUGCAGAGAAGAGGCAGCUAGGCAACUCACUGAGCCAUAUGACAUAUCAGGUGGUGAUAUAGAAGACGAAGAGCAAAACACAAAAUGGUUGAGCAAUGAAGAGCAAAGCCGUUCCAAUCUUGAGGAUGGAAAUAUCAGAACCACCACUUGUGUCAUUGAUGGAGACCAGCCUUUGUAUCCUGGAGCCAAACUUUCAAAAGGGGAAAGUCUGACUCCACUUCUAGGCUACAUGCUACGCCACCAUGUGACCAAGGCAGGAAGUCAAGAUUUACUGCAUCUGCUGCAGAUGCUUCUCCCUGAAAAUAAUUUACCCUCCACCAACUACCUGUUCAAGCGUGCUUUUGACACAGCCAGCUGGCAGUUACAUCACUAUUGUCUGAAUCCUGACUGUGGAGCUUACAUUGGCAUAUUAGAUGUCGAGAGUGUACUAUGUCCAAUGUGUGAUACAGAAUGCAAAGUAUCAGAACAUCUGAGUAAAGGCUAUUAUUUUAUGUACACCCCCUUGAGAGAUGAAAUUAAAAAUCUUUUUGAAAAUCACAACCUUAAUGAAAAACUAUCACAGACAAACAACUCUGAUUGCAUCCGAGAUAUCAGUGAUGGUACACUGUAUAAGAGAAUUCCAAUGCUGACAGACCAGGG
Long non-coding RNA from Carassius carassius (crucian carp), 692 nucleotides. RefSeq lists it as uncharacterized. Lineage: Eukaryota; Metazoa; Chordata; Actinopteri; Cypriniformes; Cyprinidae. The record is from RefSeq and is a predicted model, not a curated record. The transcript has 3 exons.